ACAAGCGGUGAGCAUGUGGUUUAAUUCGAAGCAACGCGAAGAACCUUACCAGGUCUUGACAUCCCGAUGCUAUUUCUAGAGAUAGAAAGUUACUUCGGUACAUCGGUGACAGGUGGUGCAUGGUUGUCGUCAGCUCGUGUCGCGAGAUGUUGGGUUAAGUCCCGCAACGAGCGCAACCCCUAUUGUUAGUUGCCAUCAUCCAGUUGGGCACUCUAGCGAGACUGCCGGUAAUAAACCGGAGGAAGGUGGGGAUGACGUCAAAUCAUCAUGCCCCUUAUGACCUGGGCUACACACGUGCUACAAUGGUUGGUACAACGAGUUGCGAGUCGGUGACGGCGAGCUAAUCUCUUAAAGCCAAUCUCAGUUCGGAUUGUAGGCUGCAACUCGCCUACAUGAAGUCGGAAUCGCUAGUAAUCGCGGAUCAGCACGCCGCGGUGAAUACGUUCCCGGGCCUU
Molecule: ribosomal RNA, 455 nt
Filed under: uncultured Streptococcus sp.
Lineage: Bacteria; Bacillati; Bacillota; Bacilli; Lactobacillales; Streptococcaceae
Description: bacterial SSU rRNA
Rfam family: Bacterial small subunit ribosomal RNA
Source: RNAcentral